CUCUUCUACCUCUCUUGCCUCCUCGUUCUCCCAGGGGACAUCUGUCUUCCCUCCUCGUUCUGCUGGCACAACCCAGUACCUGCCAGAAGCUCAUAGGACCCCAUCUUUUGUGCACACGACACAUCAGAAUUGCAGCUUGAAGUGACAAAUAGGUUGAGGUUGGAUGCUCCUAUUAGUCAGCACCUUGAGGGUAGAGAGGGAGAUGGAACAUUAGCAAAGGAGGAGCAAUGCAGUGAAAAGGACAGAAUUUCUGUUUAAGGACAGAGAAGCCAAGUAACAAAUGCCACUAGGAGACUCAAGGGAUACAGCUGUGCAAAGAAAACUGCAGAAAAAAAUAAAUGUGUCCCCAACUACCUGUAAUCAACAUUGCACUUCCUGCUCACUGGAAACUACCUGGAUCAGAUCCUUAGGUCUUAAUACUGUAUUAUGUAUGGGUG
Molecule: long non-coding RNA, 437 nt
Organism: Heterocephalus glaber (naked mole-rat)
Lineage: Eukaryota; Metazoa; Chordata; Mammalia; Rodentia; Bathyergidae
Source: Ensembl